RNAcentral lists this ribosomal RNA (391 nucleotides) under uncultured bacterium. RNAcentral's name for it is "bacterial SSU rRNA". It matches the Rfam family "Bacterial small subunit ribosomal RNA", at positions 30 to 424 of the family's 1533-position model. The record is from RNAcentral.
AUUGAACGCUGGCGGCAUGCCUUACACAUGCAAGUCGAACGGCAGCGGACCUUCGGGUGCCGGCGAGUGGCGAACGGGUGAGUAAUAUAUCGGAACGUACCUUUCAGUGGGGGAUAACGUAGCGAAAGUUACGCUAAUACCGCAUAUUCUGUGAGCAGGAAAAGCAGGGGAUCGCAAGACCUUGCGCUGAUUGAGCGGCCGAUAUCAGAUUAGCUAGUUGGGUGAGGUAAAGGCUCACCAAGGCGACGAUCUGUAGCGGGUCUGAGAGGAUGAUCGCCACACUGGAACUGAGACACGGUCCAGACUCCUACGGGAGGCAGCAGUGGGGAAUUUUGGACAAUGGGCGCAAGCCUGAUCCAGCCAUGCCGCGUGAGUGAAGAAGGCCUCGGUU